RNAcentral lists this ribosomal RNA (755 nucleotides) under Lacticaseibacillus casei. RNAcentral describes it as "bacterial SSU rRNA". It matches the Rfam family "Bacterial small subunit ribosomal RNA", at positions 66 to 795 of the family's 1533-position model. Lineage: Bacteria; Bacillati; Bacillota; Bacilli; Lactobacillales; Lactobacillaceae. The record is from RNAcentral.
GUUGAUGAUCGGUGCUUGCACCGAGAUUCAACAUGGAACGAGUGGCGGACGGGUGAGUAACACGUGGGUAACCUGCCCUUAAGUGGGGGAUAACAUUUGGAAACAGAUGCUAAUACCGCAUAGAUCCAAGAACCGCAUGGUUCUUGGCUGAAAGAUGGCGUAAGCUAUCGCUUUUGGAUGGACCCGCGGCGUAUUAGCUAGUUGGUGAGGUAAUGGCUCACCAAGGCGAUGAUACGUAGCCGAACUGAGAGGUUGAUCGGCCACAUUGGGACUGAGACACGGCCCAAACUCCUACGGGAGGCAGCAGUAGGGAAUCUUCCACAAUGGACGCAAGUCUGAUGGAGCAACGCCGCGUGAGUGAAGAAGGCUUUCGGGUCGUAAAACUCUGUUGUUGGAGAAGAAUGGUCGGCAGAGUAACUGUUGUCGGCGUGACGGUAUCCAACCAGAAAGCCACGGCUAACUACGUGCCAGCAGCCGCGGUAAUACGUAGGUGGCAAGCGUUAUCCGGAUUUAUUGGGCGUAAAGCGAGCGCAGGCGGUUUUUUAAGUCUGAUGUGAAAGCCCUCGGCUUAACCGAGGAAGCGCAUCGGAAACUGGGAAACUUGAGUGCAGAAGAGGACAGUGGAACUCCAUGUGUAGCGGUGAAAUGCGUAGAUAUAUGGAAGAACACCAGUGGCGAAGGCGGCUGUCUGGUCUGUAACUGACGCUGAGGCUCGAAAGCAUGGGUAGCGAACAGGAUUAGAUACCCUGGUAGUC